UCCCAUUCCAAAAGACAGGGAUCUGGCGGCUUUGGCCUCUCCUCAAACUCUCAGAGAUUGGGCCCUACAUAUGACUCUCGGCUAGGGGACUGGACCCAGAAGACUCCUGGCUUCCACACAUACCCACGAAUCAUCUGAUUACGGUCCACUCUCAGGAUUCUUCCCCUAUCAACGCACUGAAUUUACUUUCAACCCAGUGGCAGACCAACUCUUCCUUUCAUCAAGAAGCAGGAGGAACAUCAUGCAAACAGGUCCCAGGCAGUCAAAAAGCCAAGAUGCAAAAUAAGUAUUUGUCACCCCAUGCUACUUUUUUUUUUCUGGCUGGUCAUCCCCUGCAAAGUAUGCACAGGCUGAAGAUGUCCUCCUCUCCUUU
This 373-nucleotide long non-coding RNA is filed under the name Macaca mulatta (Rhesus monkey). RNAcentral describes it as "lncRNA (ENSMMUG00000061020.1)". Lineage: Eukaryota; Metazoa; Chordata; Mammalia; Primates; Cercopithecidae. The record is from RNAcentral.